This is a non-coding RNA of Pelobates cultripes (western spadefoot toad), 129 nucleotides long. The record is from the annotation of a GenBank genome assembly. NCBI's taxonomy places the organism in Eukaryota, Metazoa, Chordata, Amphibia, Anura, Pelobatidae.
UUUAUAUAGCGCCAUCAGAUUCCGUAGUGCUUUACAAUGGGUUAUUAACUUGUCUGGUUACAACUACAUGUCUGUUCGUCCACCCAUUGUAAAGCGCUGCGGAAUUUGAUGGCGCUCUAUAAAUAUCAU